RNAcentral lists this long non-coding RNA (1119 nucleotides) under Oryctolagus cuniculus (rabbit). RNAcentral describes it as "lncRNA (ENSOCUG00000030124.1)". Lineage: Eukaryota; Metazoa; Chordata; Mammalia; Lagomorpha; Leporidae. The record is from RNAcentral.
AUGCACUUGUCUCUGGGCCCUCCCGCUAGCCACGGCCCGGUGAGGCCCGCGUGGGCAGCGCAGCCUCAGCUCCCGUGCAGCAGCGUCCCACACCAGGCACGGCGCACAGGCUCCUGCCCGGCGCUGUCCAUCACAGCGGGGCCCGGACUGAGCCCGGGACAGGCACACUUCCACACACGAGUCGCAGCUCGGAGGCAAAGGGGACAAGGACGAGGUCCCUGUCCCGGAGCCUCCCACGGCCCGCCGCCACCUCCAGCUCGUGUCCCCGAGGCUUGGGGAUGUCCUGGGACUUCAAAACCCUCACUGAAAAUGGAAUCAGAAGUGGAUUUGGGUGCAAAAAUUCUGACAUGCACGCAGAGCGUUCUCACAACGCGCAUUUCCCGUGGACUUAAAGACCCGGCGUGCGGCUGCAGGGGCCCAGGAGCCCCGAGGGGCUGGCAGGCCGCAGCUCCACCCCAGGCUUCCACCACGAGGCUCACCCAGGAGUCCCAAGCCUCUGACCCCAAGACCUCGGAGGCCUCAGGGGUGCGGCCCCGGCCAGCUGACUUCACCCAGGAUCAGUGCCCCCAUCUCUGGUCAAAAUCCCCAGGUUCCCUUCAAGGGAGAGGCCCCCACACGGCUCCCCAGGGGCGCCCCACAGUGCUGGGAGGCUCGCCUGGGAGUCGCUGGCCGACCCCAACAUCGCCACAGCCGGUCGUGGUACACACCCCCGCUUCAAGCCGAUGGGGUCCCUCCCUGCCCACACAGAUGAGCCUGUGGCCGAGGUGGCUUGCGUCCCCCUUCUGUUGGUCCAUGACCCACACCUCGCCAUGCACAGGGCGAUGCCCUCUGCGCUCCGCAGCUCCCGUCUGGCUGUGUUUGCUGUGGGUGGACGCUCAGGUCCUGAGUCCAGACUCGCCGGCACCCACGGCACUCGUCCCCUGUGGCAUCCUGGCUCCGUCUGGCCCAGAGGACACAGCCCUGCGGGGUCUGCUGCACGCGGGAGGACCUCCUGCAGGGCCCUGCCCCGCCCGUGCCUGGAGAUGCGCGCCCCUCCGCCCCUCCGGCCAGGGGCCCCCGCCUACCUCUGGCCCGGCUCUCAGAGGCCAGCGUUCACCCACUCGCACAGCUGUGAGCUGA